CCUACGGGUGGCAGCAGUGAGGAAUAUUGGUCAAUGGGCGCGAGCCUGAACCAGCCAAGUAGCGUGAAGGAUGAAUGCCCUAUGGGUUGUAAACCUCUUUUAUAAAGGAAUAAAGUGAGGCACGUGUGCCUUUUUGUCUGUAUCUUAUGAAUAAGGAUCGGCUAACUCCGUGCCAGCAGCCGCGGUAAUACGGAGGGUCCGAGCGUUAUCCGGAUUUAUUGGGUUUAAAGGGAGCGUAGAUGGGUUGUUAAGUCAGUUGUGAAAGUCUUCGGCUCAACCGUAACAUGGCAAUUGAUACUGGCAGCCUUGAGUACAGUUGAGGUAGGCGGAAUUCGUGGUGUAGCGGUGAAAUGCUUAGAUAUCACGAAGAACUCCGAUUGCGAAGGCAGCCUACUAGACUGCAUCUGACGUUGAGGCUCGAAAGUGUGGGUAUCAAACAGGAUUAGAUACCCCUGUAGUC
Molecule: ribosomal RNA, 460 nt
Filed under: uncultured bacterium
Lineage: Bacteria
Description: partial 16S ribosomal RNA
Rfam family: Bacterial small subunit ribosomal RNA
Source: RNAcentral